CCUCCCGGUGACACCUGCCUCCAUGGGGCGGGGCUAUGGAGCCGGUGGGUGUGGCUUCUACCCGGGGGGCGGGGCUUAGAGAACAGCUGGGGCGUGGUUGGGUGAUGCUCUAUGAGGGGGCGUGGCUUAUUUGGAGGGGGCGGGGCCUAGAGGCCAGGCCCCCAGUGCUGCGGGGGUGGGGGGGGGUAUGUGUUAUCCAUGCCCCGCCCCUUCUGGGGUGUGUGGGCGGGGCCUGAGGAGCCACGUGGCCCCUUCCCGCCCCCCCGCAGGCGGCCAUGGAGUCCCCAGGGCGUCACCCGGGCGGCGACGAGGAGGAGGAGGAGGAGGAGGAGGAAGAAGAGGAGGAGGCCGAGGCCGUGGUGUCCCCGCGUCGCCCCGAGGAGGUGACGGUGGCCACGGCGUCCCCGUGUCACCCCGAGGAGGAGGAGGAGGUCACAUCUCACCUGGAGGAGAAGGAGGCCAUGAGGUCCCCGUGUCACCCCGAGGAGAAGGUGGAGGCCGUGGCGUCCCCGCGUCACUCCAAGGAGGAGGCCACCGUGUCUCCGUGUCACCCUGAGGAGGAGGAGGAGGCCCCGUGUCACCCCAAGGAGGAAGAGGAGGAGGAGGAGGAGGCCGCACAUCACCCCAAGGAGGAGAAAGAGGCCACAUCUCAUCUUGAGGAGAAGGUGGAGGCCACGGUGUCCCCACGUCACCCCAAGGAGGAGGAGAAGGAGACCACAUCUCACCUCGAGGAGAAGGUGGAGGCCACGGCGUCCCCACGUCACCCCAAGGAGGAGGAGGAGGAGGUCACGUCUCAUCUUGAGGAGAAGGUGGAGGCCACGAUGUCCCCGUGUCACUCUGAGGAGAAGGAGGAGGCCACGUCUCACCGUGAGGAGAAGGUGGAGGCCCCAGCAUCCCCAUGUCACCCUGAGGAGAAGGAGGAGGCCACGUCUCACCUUGAGGAGAAGGAGGAGGCCACGUCUCACCUUGAGGAGAAGGUAGAGGCCAUGGUGUCCCCAUGUCACCCUGAGGAGAAGGUGGAGGCCACGUCUCACCCUGAGGAGAAGGAGGAGGCCACAUCUCACCUCGAGGAGAAGGUGGAGGCCACAUCUCACCCUGAGGAGAAGGUGGAGGCCACAUCUCACCUCGAGGAGAAGGCGGAGGCCACGUCUCACCUUGAGGAGAAGGUGGAGGCCACGUCUCACCGUGAGGAGGAGGAGGCCACGUCUCACCUUGAGGAGAAGGUGGAGGCCACGUCUCACCGUGAGGAGAAGGUGGAGGCCAUGUCUCACCCCGAGGAGAAGGUGGAGGCCACGUCUCACCCCGAGGAGAAGGUGGAGGCCGCGGCGUCCCCGCGCCGCCCCGAGGAGGAGGAUGAUGAUGAUGAGGAGGAGGCGGUGGCGGUGGCCGGGUGGCCGCGGGGCGGUGGGGCG
This 1412-nucleotide long non-coding RNA is filed under the name Calidris pugnax (ruff). RNAcentral describes it as "lncRNA (ENSCPUG00000001125.1)". The record is from RNAcentral. Lineage: Eukaryota; Metazoa; Chordata; Aves; Charadriiformes; Scolopacidae.